GAUGAAGAACGUAGUGAAAUGCGAUAAGUAAUGUGAAUUGCAGAAUUCAGUGAAUCAUCGAAUCUUUGAACGCACCUUGCGCCCUUUGGACAUUCCGAAGGGCAUGCCUGUUUGAGUAUCAUGAACACCUCAACUCUCACGGCUUGUCCGUGAUGAGCUUGGACUUUGGGGGUCUUGCCGGCCUGUGGUCGGCUCCUCUCAAAUGGAUCAGCUUGCCAGUGUUUGGUGGCAUCACAGGUGUGAUAACUAUCUGCGCUUGUGGUUUUCCAUCAGAUAACCUUCAGUGAUAUGGAGGUUCGCUGGAGCUCACAACUGUCUCUCCUUAGUGAGGACAGCUCUUUGAACGUUUGAUCUCAAAUCAGGUAGGACUACCCGCUGAACUUAAGCAUAUCAAUAAGCGGAGGA
RNAcentral lists this unclassified non-coding RNA (405 nucleotides) under soil metagenome. RNAcentral describes it as "partial contains 5.8S ribosomal RNA, internal transcribed spacer 2, and large subunit ribosomal RNA". The stretch from base 1 to 121 matches the Rfam family "5.8S ribosomal RNA", at positions 35 to 154 of the family's 154-position model. The record is from RNAcentral.